GUCAAGUCAUCAUGGCCCUUAUGGGCUGGGCUACACACGUGCUACAAUGGCGGUGACAAUGGGCAGCCACUUGGCGACAAGGAGCUAAUCCCAAAAACCUUCUCUCAGUUCAGAUUGCAGUCUGCAACUCGACUGCAUGAAGCUGGAAUCGCUAGUAAUCGUAUAUCAGCAAUGAUACGGUGAAUACGUUCCCGGACCUU
RNAcentral lists this ribosomal RNA (200 nucleotides) under uncultured organism. RNAcentral describes it as "partial small subunit ribosomal RNA". It matches the Rfam family "Bacterial small subunit ribosomal RNA", at positions 1184 to 1382 of the family's 1533-position model. The record is from RNAcentral.